Molecule: long non-coding RNA, 832 nt
Filed under: Daucus carota (carrot)
Lineage: Eukaryota; Viridiplantae; Streptophyta; Magnoliopsida; Apiales; Apiaceae
Description: long non-coding RNA (DCAR_LNC006247)
Source: RNAcentral
ACCAAUCUUAUAAUGAGAUAUGAGAUCUAAUCUCAACCACUCAUUUAAAUACAUUGUAUUCAUCUUUCACCAUUCAUUUAAUAUUUUAAUAUUUCAUCAUCUUCAAAUUCAACUACCUAUCACCUUCAACCACCGCUGACCAGCGCCACCACUUCCGGCGACCACCACCACCUCCGGCGACCACCAGAAAAUCACCACCGGGAACAUAAAAUCACCGCCAGAAAAUAAAAAAUCAACGGCAGAAUAUUAAAAUCACCUCCGUAAAAACAAAAAUCACUACCUGAAAAUGAGAAAUCAACACCAGAAAACAAAAACCACCACCGUAAAAACAAAAAUCAUCACACCACCACCAUCUACAAACAACCACCACCACCUUUAUAUCGAAAAAGCCACCAACUACAAAACAAAAUCACUAUCGUAGAAACAAAAAUCACCACAAAAAAAUGAAAAGUCAACACCAAUAAAUAAGAGAUUAACACCAGAAAAAUAAAAUCACCAUCGUAAAAACAAAAAUCACUACAUAAACAACACCACCGCCACUCAUCACACCACCACGGUCAACAUCUCCAACGAACACAGCAGCGUCGCGGCGGCGAACGAAGGUAGGAGGUAGCAGAUCCACGCUUUUUGUCAUCGUUGGGACAAAACGCAGCGAUGAAGUUAAUGCCACCGCCAGAGUCGCCGGAUGAGUGUUUGCGUAUAAGCCUGUGCGUGCCAACGCUAGAGUCGCCGGAGUGUGUUUAGACAACAGAUCUUGUGUUAUGGUGGAGAAAGAGAAGCAGAUGAGGUUGGCGUCGGGGAGAUAAAGGAGAACGGAAAGAGUUGGGCUGCG